This 27-nucleotide small nuclear RNA is filed under the name Arabidopsis thaliana (thale cress). Its description in RNAcentral is "snRNA_05160". Lineage: Eukaryota; Viridiplantae; Streptophyta; Magnoliopsida; Brassicales; Brassicaceae. The record is from RNAcentral.
GAAACUAACAAGGAUUCCCUUAGUAAC